This 360-nucleotide ribosomal RNA is filed under the name uncultured Pseudomonas sp. Its description in RNAcentral is "bacterial SSU rRNA". It matches the Rfam family "Bacterial small subunit ribosomal RNA", at positions 552 to 911 of the family's 1533-position model. Lineage: Bacteria; Pseudomonadati; Pseudomonadota; Gammaproteobacteria; Pseudomonadales; Pseudomonadaceae. The record is from RNAcentral.
UACUGGGCGUAAAGCGUGCGCAGGCGGUUAUGCAAGACAGAGGUGAAAUCCCCGGGCUCAACCUGGGAACUGCCUUUGUGACUGCAUGGCUAGAGUACGGUAGAGGGGGAUGGAAUUCCGCGUGUAGCAGUGAAAUGCGUAGAUAUGCGGAGGAACACCGAUGGCGAAGGCAAUCCCCUGGACCUGUACUGACGCUCAUGCACGAAAGCGUGGGGAGCAAACAGGAUUAGAUACCCUGGUAGUCCACGCCCUAAACGAUGUCAACUGGUUGUUGGGAGGGUUUCUUCUCAGUAACGUAGCUAACGCGUGAAGUUGACCGCCUGGGGAGUACGGCCGCCAAGGUUGAAACUCAAAGGAAUG